RNAcentral lists this ribosomal RNA (398 nucleotides) under uncultured bacterium. RNAcentral describes it as "partial 16S ribosomal RNA". It matches the Rfam family "Bacterial small subunit ribosomal RNA", at positions 523 to 918 of the family's 1533-position model. The record is from RNAcentral.
AUACGUAGGGUGCGAGCGUUGUCCGGAAUUACUGGGCGUAAAGAGCUCGUAGGUGGUUUGUCGCGUCGUCUGUGAAAUUCCGGGGCUUAACUCCGGGCGUGCAGGCGAUACGGGCAUAACUUGAGUACUGUAGGGGAGACUGGAAUUCCUGGUGUAGCGGUGAAAUGCGCAGAUAUCAGGAGGAACACCGGUGGCGAAGGGGGGUCGCUGGGCAGUAACUGACGCUGAGGAGCGAAAGCAUGGGUAGCGAACAGGAUUAGAUACCCGGGUAGGCCAUGCCGUAAACGGUGGGCGCUAGGUGUAGGGGUCUUCCACGACUUCUGUGCCGUAGCUAACGCAUUAAGCGCCCCGCCUGGGGAGUACGGCCGCAAGGCUAAAACUCAAAUGAAUUGACGGGG